RNAcentral lists this ribosomal RNA (195 nucleotides) under uncultured bacterium. Its description in RNAcentral is "partial 16S ribosomal RNA". It matches the Rfam family "Bacterial small subunit ribosomal RNA", at positions 326 to 538 of the family's 1533-position model. The record is from RNAcentral.
ACGCUCGACACCUACAGGCAGCAGUGGGGAAUAUUGCACAAUGGGGGAAACCCUGAUGCAGCGACGCCGCGUGAGCGAAGAAGUAUUUCGGUAUGUAAAGCUCUAUCAGCAGGGAAGAAACUGACGGUACCUGACUAAGAAGCACCGGCUAAAUACGUGCCNGCAGCCGCGUAAUCUGAGCGGGCGUGGCAAGGC